Molecule: ribosomal RNA, 433 nt
Filed under: uncultured bacterium
Lineage: Bacteria
Description: partial 16S ribosomal RNA
Rfam family: Bacterial small subunit ribosomal RNA
Source: RNAcentral
AACGAACGCUGGCGGCAUGCCUAACACAUGCAAGUCGAACGAGACCUUCGGGUCUAGUAGCGCACGGGUGCGUAACGCGUGGGAACCUGCCCUUUGGUUCGGAAUAACUCCCCGAAAGGGGUGCUAAUACCGGAUAAUGUCUUCGGUCCAAAGAUUUAUCGCCUUUGGAUGGGCCCGCGUUGGAUUAGCUAGUUGGUAGGGUAAAAGCCUACCAAGGCGACGAUCCAUAGCUGGUCUGAGAGGAUGAUCAGCCACACUGGGACUGAGACACGGCCCAGACUCCUACGGGAGGCAGCAGUGGGGAAUAUUGGACAAUGGGGGAAAGCCUGAUCCAGCAAUGCCGCGGGAGUGAUGAAGGCCUUAGGGUUGUAAAGCUCUUUUACCCGGGAUGAUAAUGACAGUACCGGGAGAAUAAGCUCCGGCUAACUCCGCG